Molecule: non-coding RNA, 71 nt
Organism: Phrynosoma platyrhinos (Desert horned lizard)
Lineage: Eukaryota; Metazoa; Chordata; Lepidosauria; Squamata; Phrynosomatidae
Source: the annotation of a GenBank genome assembly
ACCAAUGUGGCGUAGUGGUUUGAGUGUUGGACUACAACCCUAGAGACCAGGAUUCGAGUCCUGCUUGGCCA